GGGGACUUUCGGCACUCCAGGGCUGUCCCCAACGACGCCUGACUCCGACGCACCACUGCACCAGGGCUUGAUAAUGAGGACCCUCGGCGGGGAUGGAGUGUGAACGUUAUAGUCCAGAGUAAGAUGCCUGUGCGAUUGUUUUCUGGCCGAAGGAGUUACAGUGCAGAUGAAUUCUCUAGAGCUAAAGUAACAGGCGCCGCAGGGUCAGCCCAGGCGGGAGGCCUUCGUGGCACUGGAAGCCUCGGAGAGCCCCCUACAGGCGGGAGGACCCGUAAGAAAAAUACUUCCGCUCAUAUGGGCGGAGCUAGGGAGCCCAGGCGGAAGUGACUGUAAUCAGGUUUGAGUUUGGGACCGCGGAUUGCUCAGUAGGUUUAGCGGUUGAGGGACCCCUCUUUGUGUCCCUCUUGCCAGAAAUAAGAAGGUUUUCUUGGACUUCUAGCUGUCUUCCCUAGCAGCAAUAGCUGACUGGGGCCUACACUGGGGCAAAGAGGAAACCCAACUCUGCUGGCCCAUUGUGUCACUGGUGUGGGACAGGAGCUGAGCCAUGAAGGACAAUGGAGUACAUACCCUAAGGUUUAGGCAUGUCCUGCUGAUUUCGGCAGACCCAAGAUGGGUUCUCCCAGAUAGUCGUGGCUCGCCUCCGCCUGCUGGACCAACAAUAGGAAACCGAGGACAACUGGCUGGAUCUACCCAUCAGGACCAGGAUGGGGUAGAGGCAUAUCCAACCCAGACCAAGAAGGCCAGGAAGUCACCAGAGUACCCCAGGAGGACAUGCCUUGGUACGAGAUCCCACUUACCUUACACAGUGACAAUGGCCCAGCUUUUAUCUCUGAAGUUCUACGAGAGUUAACUUCAGCCUUCAACAUCUCCUGGAAACUCCAAACAGCCUACCGGCCUCAGAGCUCAGGGAAAGUAGAGCAUAUGAACCGUACCCUCAAGGAAGCCCUAUCCAAAUUGCAUGCUGAGACUUCCUUAGGGUGGACAGAUCUACUUCCCUUAGAAGUACUCUGCUCCUGCUGUACCCCUCAGAAAAAUGGAUUCUCCCCAUUUGAAAUACUCUAUGGCAGGCCACCCCCACUGUUGUCUUCUUUUCUGGGCAACCUUAACAUCUUAGGAGACACACACCUCCAGGACCAACUAUUAUCCCUAGGAAAAAUCCUCGCAGAAUUACAUGCCACAUAUUAGAGGGCCCCGAUAUCUCUAGGAACCCCUGCCCAUUCUUUCCACCCUGGAGAUGAGGUCUGGGUAAAAGAUUGGAAACAUGAACCCCUUCUCCCAAUUUGGACUGGCCCACAGAUCGUAAUUCUCAUAACUUCUAUUGCCCUCAAGGUUAGCAGUAUCAUGCCAUGGAUCCACCAUUCGUGAGUUAAAAAGGAAAACCCCAGCCAAGCUACCUGCCCCCCACAUCUGUCACCAUCAAACCCUCUGAAGAUCACUCUGAAAAAGGGCCCCUAAGAUCUGAAAUACAUCCUCUCCUAUCUCAAUCCAUCUGGAGCUUCAUGUUAUGGCUACUAAGUUUCUUCUGCCUCUUCCUACUCUCACUAACCCAACAGCAUAUGACUGAAAGUUAACCCAGACUUUGGGAGGCCAGGACAAAGUCCUCUGUAACCAGAUCACUGAUGACUGUCCCACCUUCCAGAUAUCCCUACGUCAACUCCUGGCACCAUACAAGGAGCAAGUGCUUGAAGGGAGGCUAUGUAAAGAGCAGGGACACCAGGUGAAAUUUUGCCCAGACCAGGGGUUAGAAGAAUACAGAGAAACCUUUUGUGACCAAUGGGGUUGUGAGACCAUGGCCCCAUGGGUGACAUCAGGCAAUCUUCAGGUCUCCCCAGUUUACAUGUCCCAGGCCAACCAAACACUCACAAUUACCCCCAAAGAACUGCGGAGGAUCCUACUGGGACCAGCCUCGAUGCUGGGGACUGCGUUUGUAUGUUUCUGGGAGAGACCCUGGAAUGAUAUUCACUCUUUGCUGGGACAGAACCACUCCACAGUCCAGUUCUCUUCUAUAAACCCCACUCCCCCAGGGCCAACCAUUCAAAACUAUAUUUGUCAACUCUUAAACACCUCCUACCACUUAUGGCUCAACUCGACCCAUUCCCCUACUGGUUCCACCUCUGGGUCUGUCUCCCCUUGACUUGAUCGGCUUUCUUCAGUAUCCUCGUUCCUCCUAACUGGCCGUUGCCCAAUAAUACAAGCCCUUUGAGUUUGGGCCCUAUACAAAACUCAGUCCUGCUGUUCCCAGCUAACAGUCUAACCUGCUUUUUUCCCCCGGUUGCACCAAGACCCCCGACUCAGGCUGCCAGAACUUCACAACUCCUCUACCUUACUGCUCCCCUUUGGUAUUUUCCUCUCCUGGAAAACAACCUUCUCUUUAGGUGCCACAACAAAAGUAACGCCCCUUCUGGUUACAUACUUAUGUUUUUGUCCCCCUCUGCCUCACUAUACUCAGACUUCCAGUUCCAGUCCCGAGUAUCUCUUCACCACUGAGGCCGAUGGGCAGUAGUCUUACCAUUCCUCCUGGGGGCCAGAAUCUUCACCGGUAUAGCUAUUGGCGCAUCGCAUCUCAGGACUUCCCUUAACUUUUACUUCAGGCUUUCACAGGAACUCAACAAUGACAUGGAACGUAUUGCAGAUUUAUUAGCAUCCCUUCAGACACAACUCUCCAGUCUGGCAGCAGUAGCCUUCCAGAAUCGGUGAGACCUAGAUCAUCUCCUCAUUACUGAAAAGGGAGGAACCUGUCUCUUCCUACAGGAAGAAUGCUGCUACUAUAUCAAUCAGUCUGGAUCGUCAUUUCCAAGGUUCUUGAGCUCCAGGAACACAUCCAGCAUCGUCAAGAAGAAAUCACAUCUUGGGGUUUCAACCCACAAUCAUGCUCAUCCUGGCUAUUACCCCUAGCAGGCCGUUUAUUGUCCUUACUCCUCCUAGUUACCUUUGGUCCUUGUCUCCUCAACAGCCUUGUCUGUUUCAUCAGAAAUUACCAUCUCUCAACACAGGACUGCCCAUAUCCUUGCCUUCCAAGGAUACAGUCCCUUAAAUCUAGAUAAUGAUGAUCUCUAGGAUACCUCUGCCAAUCAUCAAGAUGGGGGAUAUGAGGCGGAUAGAGACCCCCGGGCCUCAGCCCCUUACCGUCCACUGCUCUCCAUUGCUCCUGCUGAGACAGAAAAAGACCAAAUGGCUGUACUGCUUGGUUAAGAAAAGAAAACAAGUUUCCUGAGAUGCUUCCAUAUAGAUUAUACUUCCACAUAAAGGGGGCCAGUUGGCCCUGAGAGACCAUGAAAAACAUCCUGUUCCCAUCCCCCAUCAAUGGUAACCAUAGAAACUCACUCCUAACCCUGUUGGGUGCUCAGUCUUUGGGGAACAAUCUCACUGAGCCCACCGGUGAAAAUAAGGCUGUGUUCUUCCAGAUUUCCAUGUGCCACUUGAGUUUCCUUGGUAGCUUCAGAUUUUCCCCAGCAGUAUCACUGGUAAGUGGGUACCUUCUGGCACUAAUAACUGAGCUCUCUUAGAGUUGCAAUAUUGAGUCUACCAUAACUUAUAUUAAGUCAUAUUACAGGUCUAUUAGGAAAAGAUCUGUUCUUGGUUCUAGAAUUAACUAAGAGUUUAAGGUGGCAUUGAUCCAGUCUCUGAGGUUUACAUUUGUAGAUUCAAGGAAAAUUUUCUAAAAGUACAGAUAAAUCAAGCAGAUUUUAUUUAUGCAUGGUUAGUCAUAUUCAGAAAAAAAUCUGUUACUCAGUAACAAUGGAAGAUAACUUUGUAUAAAGUUCCAACUCAUUAAUUUCACUACAAGAGUCAUAAUUGAGAUACAUUAAAAUAACUUUUUUUAGUUGACCUGAAUUUUUUCCUUAAUUAUGGUAUGUAAUCUUUGUGUUCUAAAGUAUCUGUAAUUACAACUUAAUAAGCAACCAUAAAAAUAUUUGCUCUUGAAAUAAAUAGGUCUUAUUCAAACAAAAGAGUAAGGAACUUAAAUAAUGUAAAGUAGUACAUUUAACACUCACACCUAAAAAACUCUGUAAUUUUAAUCUGGGAACUUGUGGAAAGUAAAAUUUAUUAGGUCAUGAGGAUGGCAGUGACUUUAGGUAAUGUUGUGGAGUAUAUGAAGUUGUGGCUGGGCUUAGUGCAAUCUGUGGGGAUAUUGCAGGAUAGAGGGGAGGGUGGUUCUAACCUCAAGAAAGGGACUCAAUUUAGAAAUGGAGUAAUAAAAUAUCAUCAUUUAGAAGCAAGGUUGGAAGGAUUAACAUGCAAUUGAUUAAAUCAGCCUUUUGAAAAUAGAAUUAACUCACUCUAACAUCUGAUUUGUAGUUAUAAUAUGAAGGUGAACAAAAGUCUCCUAAAGCCAAUCCAUAUUCCUGAGGGAAUUCUUUUUCAGGUAAUAAUAGCUUCUAUUUAUUGAUCACUAUAUAUUCAGUAGUGUGCUAAGAGCUUUACAUCCAUGAUCACAUUUAGAAUCCUGCCAAUCUUUAGGAAAGAUAUUGUUAGCUUUCUCUAUUGAUGAGAAAUCAAGGUUUAGAAUUAUAAUUACCUUGUGCAGGGCUAUGAAAUGUAACAUAUGGUGACUCAAGUCCAAUCCCAGCUCUAUUACAUGUUAACUAUGUGACCUUAGGCAAAUUACUUGAUCUAUAUUUUGUUUCUUCACAGAGGAAAU
Neogale vison (American mink) is the source of this 4642-nucleotide long non-coding RNA. RefSeq lists it as uncharacterized. Lineage: Eukaryota; Metazoa; Chordata; Mammalia; Carnivora; Mustelidae. The record is from RefSeq and is a predicted model, not a curated record. The transcript has 4 exons.